CAGUAGCCGCGGUAAUACGGAGGAUCCAAGCGUUAUCCGGAAUCAUUGGGUUUAAAGGGUCCGUAGGUGGUCUUGUAAGUCAGUGGUGAAAGCCCAUCGCUCAACGGUGGAACGGCCAUUGAUACUGCAGGACUUGAAUUAUUGGGAAGUAACUAGAAUAUGUAGUGUAGCGGUGAAAUGCUUAGAGAUUACAUGGAAUACCAAUUGCGAAGGCAGGUUACUACCAAUUGAUUGACGCUGAUGGACGAAAGCGUGGGUAGCGAACAGGAUUAGAUACCCCUGUAGUUCCUGUCUCUUAUAC
Molecule: ribosomal RNA, 301 nt
Filed under: uncultured bacterium
Lineage: Bacteria
Description: partial 16S ribosomal RNA
Rfam family: Bacterial small subunit ribosomal RNA
Source: RNAcentral